AUAGUGAACCAGUACCGUGAGGGAAAGGCGAAAAGAACCCCUGUGAGGGGAGUGAAAUAGAACCUGAAACCGUCUACGUACAAGCAGUGGGAGCCCCAUCACUAAGACACUUCAUCUUAGUGAGACGCUAUCACUUUGUUGACUGGGUUAACCACGCGCAGCGUGGGUCAACCGCCCAAUCCAGCAGAGGUGACUUAGUGAUGGGGUGACCGCGUACCUUUUGUAUAAUGGGUCAGCGACUUAAUGUAAGUAGCCAGGUUAACCGCAUAGGGGAGCCGUAGGGAAACCGAGUCUUAACU
RNAcentral lists this ribosomal RNA (299 nucleotides) under Salinivibrio kushneri. Its description in RNAcentral is "partial 23S ribosomal RNA". It matches the Rfam family "Bacterial large subunit ribosomal RNA", at positions 487 to 689 of the family's 2925-position model. The record is from RNAcentral. Lineage: Bacteria; Pseudomonadati; Pseudomonadota; Gammaproteobacteria; Vibrionales; Vibrionaceae.